Cuculus canorus (common cuckoo) is the source of this 1030-nucleotide long non-coding RNA. RefSeq lists it as uncharacterized. NCBI's taxonomy places the organism in Eukaryota, Metazoa, Chordata, Aves, Cuculiformes, Cuculidae. The transcript has 3 exons. The record is from RefSeq and is a predicted model, not a curated record.
ACGUCGUUUCAGGUGGCAUCCUCUUCAUGGUCCAAUGGGAAUCUGGGCAGCCUUGGCUGGACGUCCUUUCAGGUGGCAUCCUCUUCAUGGUCCAAUGGGAAUACGGACACCGCCACCCUGCCGUUUGGAGGAAGUGACUUAGCUGGUGAUGCGUUCAUGUCCAAGGAGUCACGUCUUACUCCAGGGAUCCCCUCCUUCGCUGGGAUACUUCCAUUUCCCAUCUCAAAAGCAGCUCCAUCAAAGAAGAAAAUGGGAGCUAGAUCCAUUCAAAAUGAGACCCAGUGCGGACAUCUGUCUUAUUAUCCAACAGUAGGCUAAAAAAAAUAAACUCUGCUGGCUCUGUGGGAGGGAUGUCAAUAAAUGGCAGCUGGAUACGAAAGUGGACUUCCAGAAGCUUUCAUCCAUGAAUCAGGUAAUGAGCCUCAGUGAGGAGCAUCCCAUCCCAUGCUCUUGCAUUUUCCAGAGCGGUGAGGGAGUUUGUGGCAUUGAGGAGAAGCUGGUAUCCAAGAUUUUCAUUGUGUAUGUGCUCAGACAUGCUGUGAGAACCAGGGGUCAAUGAAAGAGAGAUUUGCCCAUAACCCAAGGAGAUUGAACCUCGAGAAGGUUUCUUUGUCAGUGCACCUUUGUUGCCCUGAGGAUCCCAUCAGGGAUCCCCCCCUCCCCUCUGCCUGUGGGCUCGUGCCCGUUUAUCCUCAAGGCAGGAGGCAGGACAUUCAGUCAUCACCUUGUCUUCUGGAUGGACUCAUCUCCAGCCUUUACCGCUGCUCCAUCUCCUGAUCAUGCUGGCUGGACCACUCGCUGGAUCCUGGUGUUUUCCAUGCCUUUGCCUUGUCUGGGACUGCCAGUGGACCCUGCAGGCAGGUGGUGUGGGAGGGCACGCUGCUGGUGUGGGACCCACUUGCACCAGGGUGCCCCUGGUCCCCCGAUUGUCCCCCUGCGUGGGGCAACGUGCAGAUUGCUGGCAGUCUUCGGUGGCAGGCAAGAGCUGCUCUAACAGGUUAUACUGGACUGAAACAUGGCUUAAUUCCAA